GACGUAGGACGCGAGCGUUGUCCGGAUUUAUUGGGCGUAAAGAGCUCGUAGGCGGCUUGUCGCGUCGACUGUGAAAUCCCGCGGCUCAACUGCGGGUCUGCAGUCGAUACGGGCAGGCUAGAGUUCGGUAGGGGAGACUGGAAUUCCUGGUGUAGCGGUGAAAUGCGUAGAUAUCGAGAGGAACACCUGAGGUGAAGACGGGUUGCUGGGCCGACACUGACGCUGAGUGCGCGAAAGCCAGGGGAGCAAACGGG
RNAcentral lists this ribosomal RNA (254 nucleotides) under uncultured bacterium. RNAcentral's name for it is "partial 16S ribosomal RNA". It matches the Rfam family "Bacterial small subunit ribosomal RNA", at positions 524 to 776 of the family's 1533-position model. The record is from RNAcentral.